This is a long non-coding RNA of Alligator mississippiensis (American alligator), 1625 nucleotides long. RefSeq lists it as uncharacterized. The record is from RefSeq and is a predicted model, not a curated record. The transcript is spliced from 9 exons. Lineage: Eukaryota; Metazoa; Chordata; Crocodylia; Alligatoridae.
AGUACAACUCCAGAGGGACAGCUCAUGUACUUGUACUGUACCUUAAUGUAGUGAAACAUUAACUACCAUUUCCACAGGGGAACAAUGGACUGUGAAUCUCACACUGGCAUGAUGUUGUGAUAAAAACAUAUCAAGUGAAUUCUGUACAGACUUUGUGCCAAGAGCCAAACAAGGACAAUCAACUCUGUUUUCCAGAGGACCCCAGGCAUACCAACGGCAGCUAUAAAUUAAGAGCUGCAUUUACACACAGCAUGGACUGAUUUGGGUUCCAGCCCUUCCUUGUGACUGAGGAUGUCCCAUGAACAUAGUACCCAGAUUCAAUUUUGGAGCCAGGUCUUAUUUCUUUUAAGGCCUUGCCUACAUUAGGCUGCAUCUACUACCAGAAGUUCUGCUGACAGCAACAAGCCACUGCAAGAAACCUGCCAGAGCACGCUCACAGCUCAGUCGAACCACACAGAUCCAUGUAGCUCUACUCUACAGCUGUGCUGGCCAACCGUGGAAGACCCUAUGGCAUUUUUGGCAGCUUUCGUCAGGAGAGUGCAUCUCAUCUUGACUGUUCAGUUGGCUGUAACUGCUGGUAUAAUCUGCAUGCUUUUUAUUUACUGGAGGAGACUUAAAGAACGGGUGUUGAUGAAUUCCUGGUUUUCCUACCCUCUGUUAUCUACAUAAACUUUCAGCAAGGUUGUGAACUUCCUCAUCCCCUGGUGGGAGGAACACAUCCUCAUCCCAGUGCUGAUUUGUGAAGUGAAGUUCGUAGGCUCGCCUACAAAAGGUGUUUUGUAAAUUCCCUUUGAGGAUUAGAACUGAAACAUCGGAGAGGGAGUGCUUGUCUUGUGAGAAGUGGGCACCCACAGAUUAUACCUGAGGGUCAACAACACUCAGCAGCCAACCAGGGCCAGGUGUGGGGAGUUAAGCUACGGACAACCAGGCCAACACAGAUGCAAGGGGUGGGAUUGAGGUUCCAGUAAGUUAAUGGCAAACCUCCCACCUUCUUCAGUGGAAUCUGGAUUUUACCCUGCAUUUUCCUGACCGAGAAGAGGCUUCAAAGCAUUGUGGGAAAAAGGGAAAAGUGUUUUCUCGCCAAGGAUGUGGGAGAGAGCAGAAGAAACAUCGCAAGGGGAAUGGCUGUUAAGUGAACUGGGCAGGAGUUACUAUUUCAAAAGUGAUGCUAGCUAAAAAGAGAGUAUGAGCAGAAAUGUUGGGCCUAGAUUUAUGAAAUGUCACGGGACUUUAUGGCUAUUUAAAGUGAACAAAAAAAGUCACAAAAAUGAUGUUUUUAGAUUCUAGUGAGUAGCUUAUAAUUUCAGUCUUCUGAGCAAUCUCCAUGUGACAGAAUACUUCCAGCAUAGCAUCCCUACGUAUCUCUAUGCAUCUACUGUUCCCAUCCAUGAUGCCAUCGUCAACAGUGUCAGACCAAUUCUAGGACCCAGCUUUGUAGGAUGCAGUCCAAAGUCUCUGUUGCUAGUUAAAAGGCUUUUUAUAAAAAGCACACUAUAUAUUUCAAAAUGCCUUUUGAACAUUUCUACUAUUGUGGCACUCCCCUCUUGCCUGCUGUCCAUUAACAAGGAGGAAAUCUAUCAAUAUUACCUUCAAUACUCACUUAUAAACAAUCGUUUGCCACCAUU